CCUACGGGUGGCAGCAGUGAGGAAUAUUGGUCAAUGGUCGUGAGACUGAACCAGCCAAGCCGCGUGAGGGAUGAAGGUACAGAGUAUCGUAAACCUCUUUUGUCAGGGAACAAAGGCGGGGACGUGUCCCCGGAUGAGUGUACCUGAAGAAAAAGCAUCGGCUAACUCCGUGCCAGCAGCCGCGGUAAUACGGAGGAUGCGAGCGUUAUCCGGAUUUAUUGGGUUUAAAGGGUUCGCAGGCGGACUGUCAAGUCAGCGGUAAAAGCCCGGGGCUCAACCCCGGCCCGCCGUUGAAACUGGCAGUCUCGAGUUGGAGAGAAGUAUGCGGAAUGCGCGGUGUAGCGGUGAAAUGCAUAGAUAUCGCGCAGAACUCCGAUUGCGAAGGCAGCAUGCCGGCUCCAAACUGACGCUGAGGCACGAAAGCGUGGGUAUCGAACAGGAUUAGAUACCCCUGUAGUC
RNAcentral lists this ribosomal RNA (459 nucleotides) under uncultured bacterium. Its description in RNAcentral is "partial 16S ribosomal RNA". It matches the Rfam family "Bacterial small subunit ribosomal RNA", at positions 338 to 795 of the family's 1533-position model. The record is from RNAcentral.